ACGUAGGGUGCAAGCGUUAAUCGGAAUUACUGGGCGUAAAGCGUGCGCAGGCGGUUUCGUAAGUCUGAUGUGAAAUCCCCGGGCUUAACCUGGGAAUUGCAUUGGAGACUGCGAGGCUAGAAUCUGGCAGAGGGGGGUAGAAUUCCACGUGUAGCAGUGAAAUGCGUAGAGAUGUGGAGGAACACCGAUGGCGAAGGCAGCCCCCUGGGUCAAGAUUGACGCUCAUGCACGAAAGCGUGGGGAGCAAACAGGA
RNAcentral lists this ribosomal RNA (253 nucleotides) under uncultured prokaryote. Its description in RNAcentral is "partial 16S ribosomal RNA". It matches the Rfam family "Bacterial small subunit ribosomal RNA", at positions 525 to 777 of the family's 1533-position model. The record is from RNAcentral.